RNAcentral lists this ribosomal RNA (406 nucleotides) under uncultured bacterium. RNAcentral's name for it is "partial 16S ribosomal RNA". It matches the Rfam family "Bacterial small subunit ribosomal RNA", at positions 30 to 526 of the family's 1533-position model. The record is from RNAcentral.
AUUGAACGCUGGCGGCAGGCCUAACACAUGCAAGUCGAACGAGUGGCGGACGGGUGAGUAAUGUCUGGGAAACUGCCCGAUGGAGGGGGAUAACUACUGGAAACGGUAGCUAAUACCGCAUACCAUCGGAUGUGCCCAGAUGGGGUUAGCUUGUAGGUGAGGUAACGGCUCACCUAGGCGACGAUCCCUAGCUGGUGUGAGAGGAUGACCAGCCACACUGGAACUAGUACACGGUCCGAACUACUACGGACGGGCGCCGUGGGGAAUAUUGCACAAUGUGCGCAAGCCUGAUGCGUCCAUGCCGCGUGUAUGGAGAAGGCCUUCGGGUUGUAAAGUACUUUCAGCGGGGAGGCGUUACCCGCAGAAGAAGCACCGGCUAACUCCGGGCCAGCAGCCGCGGUAAUAC